Molecule: ribosomal RNA, 301 nt
Filed under: uncultured bacterium
Lineage: Bacteria
Description: partial 16S ribosomal RNA
Rfam family: Bacterial small subunit ribosomal RNA
Source: RNAcentral
CAGUCGCCACGGGAAUACGUAGGUGGCAAGCGUUGUCCGGAAUUAUUGGGCGUAAAGGGCUCGCAGGCGGUUUCUUAAGUCUGAUGUGAAAGCCCCCGGCUCAACCGGGGAGGGUCAUUGGAAACUGGGAAACUUGAGUGCAGAAGAGGAGAGUGGAACUCCACGUGUAGCGGUGAAAUGCGUAGAGAUGUGGAGGAACACCAGUGGCGAAGGCGACUCUCUGGUCUGUAACUGACGCUGAGGAGCGAAAGCGUGGGGAGCGAACAGGAUUAGAUACCCCUGUAGUCCCUGUCUCUUAUAC